GAUGAACGCUAGCGGCAGGCCUAAUACAUGCAAGUCGAGGGGCAGCGGGUGUAGCAAUACAUGCCGGCGACCGGCGCACGGGUGCGUAACGCGUAUGCAACUUACCUCUAACAGGGGAAUAGCCCCGAGAAAUCGGGAUUAAUACCUCAUAACAUUUAUCAUUCGCAUGUUUGAUAAAUUAAAGCUCCGGCGGUUAGAGAUGGGCAUGCGUGACAUUAGCUAGUUGGUGAGGUAACGGCUCACCAAGGCUGCGAUGUCUAGGGGUUCUGAGAGGACAUUCCCCCACACUGGUACUGAGACACGGACCAGACUCCUACGGGAGGCAGCAGUAAGGAAUAUUGGGCAAUGGACGCAAGUCUGACCCAGCCAUGCCGCGUGCAGGAUGAAGGCCCUAUGGGGGUUUGUAAAACCUUGGCCUUUUUUGUACGGGGAAGAAACCUUCCGCACGUGUGCGGAAUUGACGGUACCGUGCGAAUAAGGAUCGGCUAACUCCGU
This 495-nucleotide ribosomal RNA is filed under the name uncultured bacterium. RNAcentral's name for it is "bacterial SSU rRNA". It matches the Rfam family "Bacterial small subunit ribosomal RNA", at positions 28 to 506 of the family's 1533-position model. The record is from RNAcentral.